AGUCGAGCGAAGCACUUUUGAUGAUUCUUCGGAUGAUUCAUUUGUGACUGAGCGGCGGACGGGUGAGUAACGCGUGAGUAACCUGCCUCAUACAGGGGAAUAACAGUUAGAAAUGACUGCUAAUGCCGCAUAAGCGCACAGGGCCACAUGGCCUGGUGUGAAAAACUCCGGUGGUAUGAGAUGGACUCGCGUCUGAUUAGCUGGUUGGUGAGGUAACGGCCCACCAAGGCGACGAUCAGUAGCCGGCCUGAGAGGGUGAACGGCCACAUUGGGACUGAGACACGGCCCAAACUCCUACGGGAGGCAGCAGUGGGGAAUAUUGCACAAUGGGGGAAACCCUGAUGCAGCGACGCCGCGUGAGUGAAGAAGUAUUUCGGUAUGUAAAGCUCUAUCAGCAGGGAAGAAAAUGACGGUACCUGACUAAGAAGCCCCGGCUAACUACGUGCCAGCAGCCGCGGUAAUACGUAGGGGGCAAGCGUUAUCCGGAUUUACUGGGUGUAAAGGGAGCGUAGACGGCUUUGCAAGUCUGACGUGAAAAUCCGGGGCUCAACCCCGGAACUGCGUUGGAAACUGUGAGGCUUGAGUGCCGGAGAGGUAAGCGGAAUUCCUAGUGUAGCGGUGAAAUGCGUAGAUAUUAGGAGGAACACCAGUGGCGAAGGCGGCUUACUGGACGGCAACUGACGUUGAGGCUCGAAAGCGUGGGGAGCAAACAGGAUUA
Molecule: ribosomal RNA, 718 nt
Filed under: uncultured bacterium
Lineage: Bacteria
Description: bacterial SSU rRNA
Rfam family: Bacterial small subunit ribosomal RNA
Source: RNAcentral